Molecule: long non-coding RNA, 450 nt
Filed under: Theropithecus gelada (gelada)
Lineage: Eukaryota; Metazoa; Chordata; Mammalia; Primates; Cercopithecidae
Description: lncRNA (ENSTGEG00000009790.1)
Source: RNAcentral
GCGGGGCCUAGCCUCAGAGAGGGGAGGGAAGAGGCGGGAGGAGGAGGUGAGAGAGGCCGGGGGCGGGGCCGUGCGGCCGGGGACCUGUUGAUCGCAGGUAUAGCCGGCUGGCCCGGACUCCCUCGGGACUGGGGCGACUGCGCAUGCUCGCUGGCCGCGCUGGGCCGGUAGCCGAGCCGCGGUGACGAACCGGCUCCGCGGUUGCGGUGUUUGCGGUUGCUGUGAUGGCGAUGUGAGGGGGCCCGGGGCGGGAUGGUGCUUACCCGGGUAGGGCCGUCUUCUUCCAGCUGGACAACGAGCUCCUCCGUCCGACAGGCGGGGGAAGAGGCCGACCCAGGCGAGAGGUUUGAAGAUCAACUGGAUUAUGUAUUUCGUUCUGGAAUCUCAAAGCAGUCCACAAACAAAUUCUUCCUUACGUUGUCUGUGUCAGGGGGAACGGUAUAUUUUUAA